This 265-nucleotide long non-coding RNA is filed under the name Vigna radiata. RNAcentral describes it as "long non-coding RNA (VRAD_LNC007911)". Lineage: Eukaryota; Viridiplantae; Streptophyta; Magnoliopsida; Fabales; Fabaceae. The record is from RNAcentral.
GAUUUGACCAUUGCCUCGCAGAGGGCCGAUAACAGAAAAAUAAAACCUGGAUUUGACCAUUGCCUCGCAGAGGGCCAAACUCGCAGAACAGAAAUUUAAAUCCGACCAUUGCCUCGCAGAGGGCCAAUAACAAAAAAAUAAAGUCUGGAUUUGACCAUUGCCUCGCAGAGGGCCGAUAACAGAAAGAAAAACUUGCUUGAGGUGCCAGGCGAGCUGGGCUUUGGGUGCCAGACAAAACUGGGCUUAUGGGCCAGGCGAGUUGGGC